RNAcentral lists this ribosomal RNA (253 nucleotides) under uncultured bacterium. RNAcentral describes it as "partial 16S ribosomal RNA". It matches the Rfam family "Bacterial small subunit ribosomal RNA", at positions 524 to 776 of the family's 1533-position model. The record is from RNAcentral.
GACGAACCGUGCGAACGUUGUUCGGAAUCACUGGGCAUAAAGCGCACGUAGGCGGUGUCGUAAGUCGGGUGUGAAAUCCCUCGGCCUAACCGAGGAACUGCGCCCGAUACUGCGAUGCUUGAGGACCAGAGGGGUGCAUGGAAUUUCCGGUGGAGCGGUGAAAUGCGUUGAUAUCGGAAGGAACUCCGGCGGCGAAAGCGAUGCACUGGCUGGUUUCUGACGCUGAGGUGCGAAAGCCAGGGGAGCAAACGGG